Molecule: long non-coding RNA, 320 nt
Organism: Drosophila willistoni
Lineage: Eukaryota; Metazoa; Arthropoda; Insecta; Diptera; Drosophilidae
Exons: 2
Source: RefSeq, a predicted model, not a curated record
UGUCAUUUUUCACAAAGUAAUUUGGUUAAAAAGCAAAUGAGUAAUUAUUAAACAGUAGUCGCGACGGCAGGAAAAAGAAGGGAAAAUGAAAAGAAAAAUAAAUGAACUCUUGUUUCAAGCAGAUGACUAAGAACACCCCAACACGGACUCCUCGUAGCCGGACCCGGACUUGCCUCCUUCCCCACUCCACUCCAUUCAUCAAUGACUAAAUAAUGGACUGGCUUCUACAGCUUCUCUUAAUAUUAACUGUGAAUGCUUUUUGAUCUCACUUUUUGAAUUACAUGCUACAACGCCCGCCCAUUUGUGUAGUUAACUAACAA